AACACAGUGCAGGUCGUAGCGGAAACGAGUUACUGACCCUUCGGGGAACGUUAACGGCGUCGAGCGGCGGACGGGUGAGUAAUGCCUAGGAAAUUGCCCUGAUGUGGGGGAUAACCAUUGGAAACGAUGGCUAAUACCGCAUGAUGCCUUCGGGCCAAAGAGGGGGACCUUCGGGCCUCUCGCGUCAGGAUAUGCCUAGGUGGGAUUAGCUAGUUGGUGAGGUAAGGGCUCACCAAGGCGACGAUCCCUAGCUGGUCUGAGAGGAUGAUCAACCACACUGGAACUGAGACACGGUCCAGACUCCUACGGGAGGCAGCAGUGGGGGAAUAUUGCACAAUGGGCGCAAGCCUGAUGCAGCCAUGCCGCGUGUAUGAAGAAGGCCUUCGGGGUUGUAAAAUACUUUCAGC
RNAcentral lists this ribosomal RNA (407 nucleotides) under Vibrio sp. P1-25. Its description in RNAcentral is "bacterial SSU rRNA". It matches the Rfam family "Bacterial small subunit ribosomal RNA", at positions 50 to 440 of the family's 1533-position model. The record is from RNAcentral. Lineage: Bacteria; Pseudomonadati; Pseudomonadota; Gammaproteobacteria; Vibrionales; Vibrionaceae.